GCGACCUCGCGAGAGCAAGCGGACCUCAUAAAGUGCGUCGUAGUCCGGAUUGGAGUCUGCAACUCGACUCCAUGAAGUCGGAAUCGCUAGUAAUCGUGGAUCAGAAUGCCACGGUGAAUACGUUCCCGGGCCUUGUACACACCGCCCGUCACACCAUGGGAGUGGGUUGCAAAAGAAGUAGGUAGCUUAACCUUCGGGAGGGCGCUUACCACUUUGUGAUUCAUGACUGGGGUGAAGUCGUAACAAGGUAACCGUAGGGGAACCUGCGGUUGGAUCACCUCCUUACCUUAAAGAAGC
Molecule: ribosomal RNA, 297 nt
Filed under: Escherichia coli
Lineage: Bacteria; Pseudomonadati; Pseudomonadota; Gammaproteobacteria; Enterobacterales; Enterobacteriaceae
Also listed under: 1 other name
Description: partial 16S ribosomal RNA
Rfam family: Bacterial small subunit ribosomal RNA
Source: RNAcentral